This 372-nucleotide unclassified non-coding RNA is filed under the name fungal sp. Its description in RNAcentral is "partial internal transcribed spacer region". The stretch from base 1 to 46 matches the Rfam family "Eukaryotic small subunit ribosomal RNA", at positions 1786 to 1831 of the family's 1831-position model. The record is from RNAcentral. Lineage: Eukaryota; Fungi.
AAGUCGUAACAAGGUCUCCGUAGGUGAACCUGCGGAGGGAUCAUUAACACGUAUCCAAACGUAUCAAACCCAAACCGUGAACUUAACAUUCCCAUAGGGGAGAGACGAUUAGUAAGCCAUAGAUGGAUUCCACCUCUUUUGGGAAACCAGAGAGGAACUGCUUACAAUCUAUCGGUCCUCGAGACCAGUCAAUCCUUUAUGGUGUAUCUACCAAGCCAUCUGGGUUACUUGUGUCAAACCAGUUUUCGAACUGGGGAAGCCUUGUAACCUUACUUCAAACCCCUUUUUUUAAAUCUACUGAUCUACAUUUCAACUAGAAAUGGUUGAAAUACGAAACGCGAACAACUCUUAGCAACGGAUAUCUUGGUUCUC